GGGUGGUAAACUCCAUCUAAGGCUGAAUACGACCACGAGACCGAUAACGAACAAGUACCAUGAGGGAAAGUUGAAAAGAACUUUGAAGAGAGAGUUCAAGAGUACAUGAAACCGUUCAGCGGUGAACCUAAGAAACCCAAAAGAUCGGACGGGGAGACUCAUCAUCAGCGGAGUUAGCUUUGCGUCGGUGGGCGAUGUCCCGCGAGUGAGCUCGCGGGUACGCUACCGUGUGCGCACGUCCGACGUCGUCAUCGUGCACUUCUCCCCUAGUAGGAUGUGGCGACUCGCUUGGUGUCGGUCUAUGGCUCGAGUUCGGUGUCUGUCGCGUCGCUGGUAAAACAGCACGCGGCAAACCCUCGGUCGCCCGGCCAGCUGCCCGGCGGUACUCGCAAGGUAUCAGGCCGCGAAGUACUUUUCGCGUUAAGCCCGUUGCAAGCGCGCGCCACGGCACCUGGAGGUACGAACUUAGCGCCGUCCCUGGUCCUGGUCCGCUGUUGGCAGAACGGUGACCCUUUGACAGGCCUUAACCGGGGGUGGGCGGUGCCUCGCGCGCCGCUCCCCUCGAUACCGGUCGGCGACGCUACUGCUUUGGGUACUCU
This 599-nucleotide ribosomal RNA is filed under the name Mystrium mysticum complex sp. ASAM395-05. RNAcentral describes it as "eukaryotic LSU rRNA". It matches the Rfam family "Eukaryotic large subunit ribosomal RNA", at positions 294 to 617 of the family's 3401-position model. Lineage: Eukaryota; Metazoa; Arthropoda; Insecta; Hymenoptera; Formicidae. The record is from RNAcentral.